CCAGGCUGGUCUCAAACUUCUGGGCUCAAGCAACCCUCCAGCCUCGGCCUCCCAAAGUGUUGGGAUCAUAGGCAUGAGACACUGUGCCUGGCGAAGAUAUUUUUACCGAAAGGGACAGAGGGUGUACUUGGAGGCACAUACCAAAGAAAUGCCAUGUGAGAACAAGCAAGAAGGUGGCCAUCUGUAAACCAGGAAGAGUGUCCUCACCAGAAAAUGAAGUGGCUAGAACUUUGAUAUCAGAAUUCCAGCCUCCAUAACUGUUUACAAAAGACUUUGUGAGAGAGCUGGCAUGAUGGCCGAAUAGGAACAGCUCCAGUCUGCAGCUCCCAGUGAGACUGACACAGAAGGCGGGUGAUUUCUGCAUUUCCAACUGAGGUACCCGGUUCAUCUCAUUGGGACUGGUUGGACAGUGGGUGCAGCCCAUGGAGGAUGCACUCAAGUGGGGUGGGGCGUCGCCUCACCUGGGAAGCACAAAGGGUCAGG
Long non-coding RNA from Gorilla gorilla gorilla (western lowland gorilla), 483 nucleotides. RefSeq lists it as uncharacterized. The record is from RefSeq and is a predicted model, not a curated record. The transcript has 3 exons. Lineage: Eukaryota; Metazoa; Chordata; Mammalia; Primates; Hominidae.